RNAcentral lists this ribosomal RNA (253 nucleotides) under uncultured bacterium. RNAcentral describes it as "partial 16S ribosomal RNA". It matches the Rfam family "Bacterial small subunit ribosomal RNA", at positions 524 to 776 of the family's 1533-position model. The record is from RNAcentral.
UACGUAGGGGGCAAGCGUUGACCGGAUUUAUUGGGCGUAAAGAGCGUGUAGGCGGCCAGGUAGGUCCGUUGUGAAAACUGGAGGCUUAACCUCCAGCUGUCGAUGGAAACCAUCUGGCUAGAGUCCGGAAGAGGAGAGUGGAAUUCCUGGUGUAGCGGUGAAAUGCGCAGAUAUCAGGAAGAACACCCGUGGCGAAGGCGGCUCUCUGGGACGGUACUGACGCUGAGACGCGAAAGCGUGGGGAGCGAACAGG